RNAcentral lists this long non-coding RNA (777 nucleotides) under Cyanistes caeruleus (blue tit). RNAcentral describes it as "lncRNA (ENSCCEG00000014857.1)". Lineage: Eukaryota; Metazoa; Chordata; Aves; Passeriformes; Paridae. The record is from RNAcentral.
CCAGCAGUCAAGCAGCUGCACAUUCAACACUGGAAAUUGAGGACACCUUUCCUGAAAAAGCCCACAGAAUAAUCAUCAUUUUCCAAGGAGAAGAGCUGGGGCAGAGUACUGCUACAACAUCUCUGACAUGUGAAGCUGCUGGGAGCUAAUUCUCCCUACUAAACGACCUUACAUGGUUCAGUAACAAUCCACUGCAGGAAUCACUGACAUGGAUGAUUGUUCUUUGACUUUUAACCUCCAGACUCUUCACAAUCUCAAAGGAAAACAGCUCUCAGGCCACAGGACUACAUCUAUAAAUCUUCAAAAUCCUGUAUCCAGGGCUGUUUCAUCUGUUGUAAACCUGGAGCUUUGCACAGAAGGCCAGAGGACAAGUACUGGAUUCCACGUCAGUCAUCGAGAUAUAAGAAGUGAUUUUUGUAUUGGGAUGAAAAUUGAAGAUAUUUUUUGAUGUUGCCAGGCCUUUCUUUUGAGCUUGUCUUUCUUCCCCUUUUUAAAAAUGGAAUCAUGUUGGAAUGAGUAACUUCAAAAGUAAAUUUACAUGUCUUCAUAGGAGAAUGCUUUUAGAACACAGCUUCUCUUAUCACAAGAGUUUUGAGGUUUUUUUCAGUGGAAGUACCAUCUUGGGCCUUAAGAUGCCUUGGGCAUCAAAACUGAUAUUAAGUUUCUGGUAUAUUUGAGGUUUCCAUCAGACAUGGAAAGUGUGACAAAAGACAGUCAAAUCAGUAUCAAAUCCUUCUGAGUGAAGUUUUAGUAAAACUUGAAGAGCCAUUAAAUUAC